UUGGUACUCCCUCCGUCCGGAAUUACUUGUCAUCAAAAUGGAUGAAAACGGAUGUGUCUAGAACUAAAAUACAUCUAGAUACAUCCAUUUCAAUGACAAGUAUUUUCGGACGGAGGGAGUAUAAU
Non-coding RNA from Triticum aestivum (bread wheat), 125 nucleotides. NCBI's taxonomy places the organism in Eukaryota, Viridiplantae, Streptophyta, Magnoliopsida, Poales, Poaceae. The record is from Rfam.